Molecule: long non-coding RNA, 1392 nt
Organism: Megalobrama amblycephala (Wuchang bream)
Lineage: Eukaryota; Metazoa; Chordata; Actinopteri; Cypriniformes; Xenocyprididae
Exons: 3
Source: RefSeq, a predicted model, not a curated record
UUAUGUUUAGCUUAUUUAAUUAAUUUGGGUUAAAUCAACUUCAGGGAUUACAGUGUACACCUAGGAUGGCUUGAGGGUGAGUAAAGGUUUGGCUAAUUUUCAUUUCAAAUUAAUCCUUUAAAUGUAGGACAGUUGGGCAUCAUACUAGGCUGUUUUAUGUGGACCGUUGUCUUAAAGACGUUGUUGUGACGUCUCAACUUUGAGUAAAAUGUGCCUUUCUCUGUUCAUUCAUUUUCAUCACUUGUGUAUUGGGGGAUGGGCAUGACUCUGACCUGAAAUGUAAGGACAGUCCUCCUCUAUGGGGACCGCCGUGUUAGGGUUAGGGUUUGAUGAAAAGAUAUGUUGCUUUGGGUAUGUGUCAGACAUUGACCUUUAUAAUGUAAAUUGUAUUACUGUAUAGACAAGAUCCUCAUGUAUACAUGUUUUACGUCUGCUUUGUGCACGACAGCCAUUAAAGUGACAGUAGAUACUUAGACUUUGGUUGAUACUAGUAUUGGUUGUAGUGCCAAUCUGGCAAACAUCCUUGCCUCAGUUUUGUACCUGUCUUUCUCACAAUUACAGGAAUUGUGUGACGAGACAUCAGUGACUGUGACUGAAUGCCGUGUGAAUCCUUCCUCAUCAGUGAACGAGAAAUUACAGGAAUUGUGUGACGAGACAUCAGUGACUGUGACUGAAUGCCGUGUGAAUCCUUCCUCAUCACUGAGUGAGAAAGAAUUGUGUGACGAGACAUCAGUGACUGUGACUGAAUGCCGUGUGAAUCCUUCCUCAUCAGUGAACGAGAAAGUAAGUGAUCGUAUGUUCCUUAAUUGUUUACUUCUCUUUGACACUGAUAAUGUUAAGUGUAGGACAGUUGGGCAUCAUACUAGGCUGUUUUAUGUGGACCGUUGUCUUAAAGACGUUGUUGUGACGUCUCAACUUUGAGUAAAAUGUGCCUUUCUCUGUUCAUUCAUUUUCAUCACUUGUGUAUUGGGGGAUGGGCAUGACUCUGACCUGAAAUGUAAGGACAGUCCUCCCCUAUGGGGACCGCCGUGUUAGGGUUAGGGUUUGAUGAAAAGAUAUGUUGCUUUGGCUAUGUGUCAGCUUUUUUUCUUAUUGUGGAUAAGGUUUAAACCCAAUAUGCACACUUUCUAACAGCAUACAAAAUGGCAUACAAUUGCUCUGAUUUCAGAUGACCUGUAAAGUCACUUCUCUUUGACACUGACACACUUGUGUAUUGGGGGAUGGGCAUGACUCUGUCCUGAAAUGUAAGGACAGUCCUCCCCUAUUAUCGUUCCAAAAACAGCUUGAUUAAAAAAGGAUACUGGUAAAUAACUAUAUAUUUUUUAUUUAUUUGUUUGUUUGCCUAUACUUUAAAGAACGGUCAGGGGUCUGUUCUUUGUAUGGUGCUAACUC